Molecule: transfer RNA, 74 nt
Filed under: Ishige okamurae
Lineage: Eukaryota; Phaeophyceae; Ectocarpales; Ishigeaceae
Description: tRNA-His
Rfam family: tRNA
About the family: Transfer RNA (tRNA) molecules are approximately 80 nucleotides in length.
Source: RNAcentral
GCAGGCGUAGUUCAGUUGGUUAGAGUGUUAGGUUGUGGUUCUAAAAGUCGGGAGUUCAAACCUCCUCGCCUGCC